RNAcentral lists this unclassified non-coding RNA (331 nucleotides) under soil metagenome. RNAcentral describes it as "partial contains 5.8S ribosomal RNA, internal transcribed spacer 2, and large subunit ribosomal RNA". The stretch from base 1 to 120 matches the Rfam family "5.8S ribosomal RNA", at positions 35 to 154 of the family's 154-position model. The record is from RNAcentral.
GAUGAAGAACGUAGCGAAAUGCGAUAAGUAAUGUGAAUUGCAGAAUUCAGUGAAUCAUCGAAUCUUUGAACGCACAUUGCGCCCACUGGUAUUCCGGGGGGCAUGCCUGUUCGAGCGUCAUUUCACCACUCAAGCCUCGCUUGGUAUUGGGCAACGCGGUCCGCCGCGUGCCUCAAAUCGACCGGCUGGGUCUUCUGUCCCCUAAGCGUUGUGGAAACUAUUCGCUAAAGGGUGUUCGGGAGGCUACGCCGUAAAACAACCCCAUUUCUAAGGUUGACCUCGGAUCAGGUAGGGAUACCCGCUGAACUUAAGCAUAUCAAUAAGCGGAGGA